GGCUGAAGCUCCACCGCCCUCCCGUCACUGCCCAGCCCACCGGCCUCCCGGGGGGAGUCCUGAGGCCCAGGGCCAGCUCAGGACAAGUCAGUGACCAAGGUGGGAAGGGAGCACCCCUCCCCGGGGCUGUCCUGACUUGCAUGCCGGAGCUCUCUCUAGCCACUCUCCGUAUUGGUGCUGGUAAGGAAAUCAGUGUCCCCGCACAGAGAACCCCAGCGCCCGGCAGGCCGCCCGCCCUGCCUUCCUGCUGCCCAGCUCUUGGCUGACUCUGCCCUCUCCCGGGUCUGGAAGAGUACCUGCUAGGGCCUGACCACAGCUGGUCCCCACCACAGCUCGUGAUGAAAUCUGAUUGCCACCGUGGGCGGUUGGGAGGUGGCUGGGUGGGCAGCGGGUUAGCGCUGCUCCAUUCCCGCCACAGUGCGCCCACACCUCAUGUUUCCCUUUCCCAUGAGGUCACCGGGGCUGGUUCAGCCAAUGGUUAGCAAAGUGAGUGCAAGAGGGAACGAGCUGGGAGGCCAGCAGGUGUUAGCGCCACAAGAGCAGUCGCAUCGAAACCCCGAGCUGGUCGAUACAAAGACAGAAAAAGCAGCCCCGGAGCCCCAGAGCUGCAAGCCAGGAAGGAAGACUGACAGAUCUCAGGUCCCGGAGCAAAUGCUCAGAGCCGCACUGUGGUAUUUGCUGGGGGGACCUGGGCUUGAGCCUCCACUCCCGAGUGCAGCAGAUCCUGGGAGGCAGCAGCGAUGGCCCACGGAGCUGGGUCCCCGCGGCCCACAUGGGAUACCUGGACUGAGUCCCUACCCCCCAGCCGCCAGCUUUGCCUCUCUCUCUCCACCAAUGCAGCAGCUGCAGGGAUUCGGGGGAGGGAACCAACGGCUGGCAGCUUUCUCCGUCCCUCAAAUAAAAAAAUAAAUGAUUUGCCAUGUGUAGGGUUGGUUUGUUUCGCUUCAUGGUCCAGGGGAUAGAGUGAAGGCCUGGGUGAAAAAAGCUGCCAAGGUCAAGGGCAAGGUUAGCAAAGGAAACGGUCAGCCUAAAACCAGAGUGGACAGGUACCAGGCAGGAAGGGGGCAAAGCAAGGCAAUGUCCCUCCCCCCUGCCUCGCUCUCUCCCUCUUCCCCCCUCCCCACUUCCUCCUCCCUCCC
Molecule: long non-coding RNA, 1139 nt
Filed under: Oryctolagus cuniculus (rabbit)
Lineage: Eukaryota; Metazoa; Chordata; Mammalia; Lagomorpha; Leporidae
Description: lncRNA (ENSOCUG00000034358.1)
Source: RNAcentral